RNAcentral lists this long non-coding RNA (738 nucleotides) under Gallus gallus (chicken). Lineage: Eukaryota; Metazoa; Chordata; Aves; Galliformes; Phasianidae. The record is from RNAcentral.
AAGGAAAGCCUGAAUGUUCUUCCCAUCAUCAGCCUAAGGCUAGUUUGGUAUUACCGAAGAUAAUGCACUGUAUCCAGGCAGAAGCACUACAAAAAGAUCAAACAUUCCACUUCAUCAUCCACAAAUACUUUGAUGCUACCAUAGGCAAGAAGAAUAGAGGAAAAGAAGCAAAAGGACACUUUAAAAUAGAAUACAGAAAAGAAAGAGAUUAUACACUGAACUGCUAUAAAUUACUGCCGGUAAAGCUGAGAAAUCCCAAAACACUAGAGAUGUAGCAAUCUGGUAAUGCAAGUAGAGAUUUAAACUUCAUCGAACAACCUUACCUCCCCCCGUGUAUUCUUGGAGAAAUAUACUCCCUGCUGUUCACAUAUUAGUUUCACGAGGAAGAGAAAUGUGAGGGUGGCCAACAAAUAAGCUAUUCACAGUUAUAUGAGUAUGAUUUACCCAAGUGUGAAUGCACUCAUGGGAGAACUGACAGGCAAGCCCCAAUUAGUUUACAAAAAAUUAUUUAAAAGCAACACCUCACAGUUGAGGUAUAAGUAAUCUCAAAGUCAGCUUUUAUCUUUUUACUUUCUAUCUCAUGAAUUUAGAGUUUUGCUUUUUUUAAACAGCAAGUGGAUAAUGAUAUCUCCUAAUAAUUUCCUUAAUUAUUCAUUCAAAUAGUAAAUGUUAAUUUCUUUCAGGCUGAGCACUUUCUCUGAGGUAAAGCAUCACUGUUGUUGCUUCUCUUCAUCCUCC